GACGGAGGGUGCUAGCGUUGUUCGGAAUGACUGGGCGUAAAGGGCGCGUAGGCGGCUCGUGAAGUCGGGUGUGAAAGCCCGGGGCUCAACCCCGGAACGGCAUCCGAUACUGGCGGGCUUGAGACCGGGAGAGGAGGGUGGAAUUGCAGGUGUAGCGGUGAAAUGCGUAGAUAUCUGCAGGAACACCCGUGGCGAAAGCGGCGCGCUGGACCACUACUGACGCUGAGGAACGAAAGCUAGGGGAGCAAACAGG
This 253-nucleotide ribosomal RNA is filed under the name uncultured bacterium. RNAcentral's name for it is "partial 16S ribosomal RNA". It matches the Rfam family "Bacterial small subunit ribosomal RNA", at positions 524 to 776 of the family's 1533-position model. The record is from RNAcentral.